Molecule: unclassified non-coding RNA, 263 nt
Filed under: soil metagenome
Description: partial internal transcribed spacer 1
Source: RNAcentral
CCAAAUGAAACAUGGUUGGGUUGUCGCUGUCCCUCGGUGGAAUGUGCACACCCUGCCGUUGUGUCCACCUCCUCACCCGUGCACCUCCUUGUAGACCGCAUUGCUCUUUUGGAUCCAGAAGCUUGCUCUCUCAAGAGAAAAGAGCGUUUGGAUGCUCUUGGGGAUUUGCCGUGAUGGCUCGCCCUGGGCAUGUCCGGUCUACGCCUCUGUAUCAAAAAACCCCUGUCAAACACGUUUGUUGUUGAUCCUGCUAAUGCACACUA